This 111-nucleotide ribosomal RNA is filed under the name Meretrix meretrix (Asiatic hard clam). Its description in RNAcentral is "partial 28S ribosomal RNA". It matches the Rfam family "Eukaryotic large subunit ribosomal RNA", at positions 1 to 109 of the family's 3401-position model. The record is from RNAcentral. Lineage: Eukaryota; Metazoa; Mollusca; Bivalvia; Venerida; Veneridae.
UCCGACCUCGGAUCAGACGAGACUACCCGCUGAACUUAAGCAUAUCAGUAAGCGGAGGAAAAGAAACUAACAAGGAUUCCCUCAGUAACGGCGAGUGAAGCGGGAAGAGCC